RNAcentral lists this ribosomal RNA (275 nucleotides) under uncultured rumen bacterium. RNAcentral describes it as "partial 16S ribosomal RNA". It matches the Rfam family "Bacterial small subunit ribosomal RNA", at positions 397 to 670 of the family's 1533-position model. The record is from RNAcentral.
CCACGUGUGGGAAGAAGCAUUUCGGUGUGUAAACCACUGUCAUGAGGGAAUAAGGCCCGCCUUCGGGCGGGAUUGAAUGUACCUCGAGAGGAAGCACCGGCAAACUUCGUGCCAGCAGCCGCGGUAAUACGAGGGGUGCAAGCGUUGUUCGGAAUCACUGGGCGUAAAGGGAGCGUAGGCGGAGAUUCAAGCGGAUUGUACAAUCCCGGGGCCCAACCCCGGCUCUGCAGUCCGAACUGGAUCUCUUGGAUAGUUCAGGGGCAAGGCGGAAUUCC